Long non-coding RNA from Camarhynchus parvulus, 474 nucleotides. RefSeq lists it as uncharacterized. The transcript has 3 exons. The record is from RefSeq and is a predicted model, not a curated record. Lineage: Eukaryota; Metazoa; Chordata; Aves; Passeriformes; Thraupidae.
ACUGAGGUCUUCGAUCUGGGCUGGCCUUUCUCUGGCUCUGGACAGAGAGUGUCAUUCCUCAGCAUGGAGCUGGCUUUGCCUACAGCAUUCACUGUAGGCGAAGUUUGAUGCAACAGUACAGAAAAAGAGCUAUCAACAAUGCCAACAUCUUCACCUGAGCUAUGGAGCUGCACAGUGAACUCUUAGAUUUCCUUGGAAAUUUUUCAGCGAGUCAAAAUUUUGUUGGAAACAUCUACACAGCUUUCAUAAUGCAAGUUACUUGGGCUUUUGAAGUGCCUUGGAUUUGACAGACUUCUGUGAGCUCAAAGAUUGCAAGGAUGCUUGGAGGUCAUCUGGUCCAACCCCAUGCUGAAAGCAGACCUGACUGUGCAAUUAGAUGAUGUAUUCCUUGGCCUGGUUUGGUGAAGCUGUGCAUCUCUCUGGGAGCAGGGAUGCUGCAGGCCCUUUCUGUGUUCCUGUGCUCAACUGUGCCCU